AGCCUUAUAGUCAAAAAUGAUUUUAAAUUGCAAAUUUAAAGGUAAGGUAAAUCUUUAAGGCUU
RNAcentral lists this transfer RNA (63 nucleotides) under Crioceris asparagi (common asparagus beetle). Its description in RNAcentral is "tRNA-Cys". The record is from RNAcentral. Lineage: Eukaryota; Metazoa; Arthropoda; Insecta; Coleoptera; Chrysomelidae.